Molecule: long non-coding RNA, 2298 nt
Filed under: Citrus x clementina
Lineage: Eukaryota; Viridiplantae; Streptophyta; Magnoliopsida; Sapindales; Rutaceae
Description: Citrus clementina (C. clementina) long non-coding RNA (CCLE_LNC000410)
Source: RNAcentral
UUUAAAAUUUUGUUAAAAUAAGGUUUAAUUUAAUUUUCAUUCGAAACAAAAAAAAAUGAAUUAAUUGUCUUUGGUUAUUUAGGUAAUUUCAAUAAGAAAUGGUUUUUAUGAGGAAUCUAGAGGGGUGUAGAAAGGCUUUCUCUAAAUUGAUAACCCCAAUUAAGUAUUAGUUUUUUGGGUCCCAACUUUGGGCCAAAGUAGUAAAUUAAUAAUUUCCUAAAUUUAUUAGAUAAUAAAUACUCAAAAGAAUCUUAUUUGUCUCUAAGACCCAAUUAAUACAUGAAUUAAUUAAUUUGAAACUAAAUACAUAUGAUAUGUAUAUAAUUUCUUUGAUAUCCUAGCAUAACGCUUUAUACAUUUCAUCAGUCUUUGUCAUUUUCUUUACACAUUUCAAAUGUGAAGCUAUUAUUGUAUUCUGUAUGCUAUGUUAACAAAGAUAAGAUAGAUAUUGGCUUAAUAUAUUGUUGUAUUUUGUAUGUUGUGUUAACAAAGAUAAGAUAGAUAUCGGCUUAAUUUAUUGUCUCUCCAAAACGUUCUAUCUAAUGAGUUACCAUAUAAUUGUGAUCAAGCCAAAGGAUCAUUGAAUGACUGAUUCACUCAGCAAGAUCAAAUCAAAAUUAUGUCAUACAAGUUGACAGAAUUAAUUCUUUAAUUUACAUUAGCUUUAUACUUCACAAAAAUUCAUAUUAUCAACUUGAAAUUAUCUAUAUAAAUUAAUAAAUUAUCAUUUUAUUGGUGAGUUAAUAAUUGUUAACUUAUCAAUAUAUUGUUAUUCACUAAAUUAAUAGAUUUUCCAUAUUUCCAAGCUAUUAAUUUAUCAAGGUUUUACAGUAUUUUACAAAAUUUAUAAAAUGUAAUUAUUUACCGUCCACCUAUUUUUUUACACUUUUUCAAAAAUAAAUAAUUCUUAAUUUUUUUUUGUUGAGCUCCACUUGAAGUUAUAUUUUUUUGCACCUAUCUACUACCGUCUUCAAAUCGUUAAGAAAACUAACAGAAUAUUGUCCAAAUUACAUAGGUGAAAUUACCAUUAUAUCCUUAUGACCUUAGCAAAGUCUUAAAGGUUUGAAGACGUCAAUGGAUAGGUGCAAAAACAUAUAACUUUGAGUGAAACUCAACAAAAAAAAUUAAAAAUUGUGUAUUUUUAAAAAAGUGAGAAAAAAUAGGUGGACGAUGGAUAAUUGCCCUUUAUAAAAAGGCCCAAAAUUUUUGUAAUAUUUCCAAAUAAGGUUUUUGUUAUUAUUAUUAUUACUACUACUACUAUUAUUUCUAUUAUUACUAAAGACAAUAGUUAAGUAAAGAUAUUUUUAUAACUUAUAACUGUCUAUUAUGAUUCUAAGAUGAAGUAAACACAUCAAUGGGAAUACUACAUGUUCUAGUUUCUAUUCCUAUAACUCAAGUAAACAACUUAUUUUGAUUCUUAUUCGUCAUUCAAACUUUAACCUAUUUUGACUCCAACUCAUUCCAAUUAUCAAUGAGUAAACACGCCAUAAGGACCUAGGAGUGACAAUUAUUCUACUUGACCACAUAGUUAUUGAAGAUUUUCGUACUUGUUAUGGAAUUAAGCCAUGCAAAACUAAAUUCAAAACCUCACAACAUAUAUUGUAAAAUGCGUACUUGUUAUGGAAUUAAGCCAUGCAAAACUAAAUUCAAAACCUCAUAACAUAUGUUGUAAAAUGCCACGCUGAAAUCCACUAUAUAGUAUUAUGGUGAAGUAAUUUCAAUGCAUGAUUUCAACAUAUAAAUCAAUCGUGGGAUUAGAAAAUUUUAUCAAGUAGCAAAUUAAUUAGAGGAGAAGAAAAAACUCAAGAGAUCAUUAUUUUUGGGUUUUGGGAGAGAGGAAAUUAAAUUUAGAAGAAGGGUAGUUUUAAAUUAAAAUGGUGUUGGUAAUAAUAAUUAAUUUUUUAACACUAUUUAAUGGGGUACUUAAAGCAGUAGUGGCAAUUGCUCUACUAUGUGGGUAUUGAUUUAUGCCAAUUGAUUCAAUAAUCAUGAGGUUUUUUGAACAUAAAAUUCUUGUUUGAAGUAAGAAUAAAGGUAUCUCACAGUACAAUGAUUAUGAAUAAUAUUUUUACUUACCUUAAUCAUUUUUCACUUUAUUAAUCUAUAUAUAUUGCUAGGUUUUUAUAUUACUCUAUCGUCUAAACCUAAUAUUAAGGGCUCACAAUGCAUCACACUAUAAUACAUUAUACCGGAAACGACUAUCACAUGUUAUUUGUCCUAUACAUAAGGCACAACUGUUAACAUAUAUAUUUUCAUAAUGUUGAUUUUGAUGAUAACAAACAAGAUUAAGAAUGAUUA